CCUACGUGAGGCAGCAGUGGGGAAUAUUGGUCAAUGGGCGAGAGCCUGAACCAGCCAAGUCGCGUGAGGGAGUACUGCCAUAUGGGUUGUAAACCUCUUUUGUCGGGGAGCAACAGCCGGACGUGUCCGGCUUUGAGAGUACCCGAAGAAAAAGCAUCGGCUAACUCCGUGCAAGCAGCCGCGGGAAUUCGGAGGAGGCGAGCGUUAUCCGGAUUUAUUGGGUUGAAAGGGUGCGCAGGCGGAGUUUUAAGUCAGCGGUCAAAUCGUGGGGCUCAACCCCAUGCAGCCGUUGACACUGGGGAUCUAGAGUGUGCGAGAGGGAUGCGGAAUGCGUGGUGUAGCGGUGAAAUGCAUAGAUAUCACGCAGAACCCCGAUUGCGAAGGCAGCAUACCGGUGCACAACUGACGCUCAGGCACGAAAGCGUGGGUAUCGAACAGGAUUAGAUACCCGUGUAGUC
Molecule: ribosomal RNA, 458 nt
Filed under: uncultured bacterium
Lineage: Bacteria
Description: partial 16S ribosomal RNA
Rfam family: Bacterial small subunit ribosomal RNA
Source: RNAcentral